GUGGCUGACCUGGGAGGACUUUUCGUCAUGGGAAACAUAAAGGUCUUCCUCAUCAAUGUAAACAAUAAGGCCCCUUUUCUCACCUGCAGUAAGUUUAUUUAACAUUGAAGAAGCAGUCUUGACUCCUACCCUGGUGAACUCAACAACCCCUCCAGAAGGCAACAUCAUGCUCGCUGAAGAAACUCCGCUGGGGAAAACUGUGGGUGCCUGCCGAGCUACUCAUGAAGACCAGAUGGGACGUCUCACCUUUGAACUGGACUUUGCUAUUGAUAAAGGGUGGAACUGUGAUGAUUGCUGACCGUCUGGAUCUGGAGGAGACUGACUUUGUGAGUGUUCAGUUCUUUACCAUUAAGGCGCGUGAUGAAGACCAGCACUGCGCAGCUAUUCCUGUGAUAGUGUACAUUCAUGGGAUCAAUGAUAACCCACGAUUCUGUGAUAAGUAUUUGUACAGG
RNAcentral lists this long non-coding RNA (452 nucleotides) under Phascolarctos cinereus (koala). RNAcentral describes it as "lncRNA (ENSPCIG00000012740.2)". The record is from RNAcentral. Lineage: Eukaryota; Metazoa; Chordata; Mammalia; Diprotodontia; Phascolarctidae.